RNAcentral lists this ribosomal RNA (544 nucleotides) under Flexamia abbreviata. RNAcentral's name for it is "partial 16S ribosomal RNA". It matches the Rfam family "Archaeal large subunit ribosomal RNA", at positions 1889 to 2688 of the family's 2987-position model. Lineage: Eukaryota; Metazoa; Arthropoda; Insecta; Hemiptera; Cicadellidae. The record is from RNAcentral.
CGCCUGUUUAACAAAAACAUUUCUUUUUGUGUUUCUAGAAAGUAUCUUCUGCCCUAUGAUUAUUUUAAUGGCCGCAGUAUUCUGACUGUGCAAAGGUAGCAUAGUAAUUAGCUUCUUAAUUAGGAGCUUGAAUGAAUGGAUGUAUGAGAGGUAUAUUUUAUUAAUUUUAUUAUUAGAAUUUUAAAUUUAGGUAAAAAUGCUUAAUUGAUUUUUUGGGACGAUAAGACCCUGUAGAACUUUAUACACAUUUUAUUAUCUUAUUUUUAUAAUUAAAAUUAUGUUAAUAUAUUGUAAGUUUUGCUGGGGUGGUGGAUAAAUUCAAACUUUUUUUAGUUUAAUCAAUUAAUAAUUGUAUUUAUGAUCUUUAUUAAAAGUUAUAAGAUUAAGUUACCUCAGGGAUAACAGCGUAAUCUUAAUGGAAAGUUCACAUUUGUAUUAAGGGUUGCGACCUCGUUGUUGAAUUAAGAUAAGUAUAAGAAGCAGCCUUCUUUUUUCUAGGUCUGUUCGACCUUUAAAUUCUUACCUUGAUCUGAGUUCAGACCGG